Molecule: long non-coding RNA, 689 nt
Organism: Gossypium raimondii (Peruvian cotton)
Lineage: Eukaryota; Viridiplantae; Streptophyta; Magnoliopsida; Malvales; Malvaceae
Exons: 2
Source: RefSeq, a predicted model, not a curated record
GCCCUCCCCUGUUUUAAAAUUUCUUCUUUCCAUUUUCUCUGAGUUUCAGACCCUAGUGCGGCCGACUCCGGCAUGUUGCCAUCACAGCGCCGCCGUGGCUCCGCCGUGGACGGUGGUUGGGGCCACGCAAAAUCUACCCUUUUUUAACCGUUUUAAAAAAAUCUUUGAAGGUCAAGCCUCCUAGGCCUCAAUGGCUGAAAGAAAAACCCCUCUCGCCCUUACGUGGUCCAACUUCGGCGAUGGGGAAGAAGAUUCCGGCGACGGGACCCGCGGGGCGAACCUAGGUGCAGGUGGAAGAGCGGCGCUGAAGGAGCGGCGAGGGCAGAACAGUUGGUGGCUAGGGUAGGUUAGGGUUUCUGUCACUAGUUUAGGUUGUGGGCUAGGUUUAUUUUGGGCUGAAUUGGGUAAAAUUUUUUUAGACUUAUAGACUGUUAAUUGAUUUUGGUUUGGUUUAUUUGGUACGGGCCCGGGCAAAUUUGGGCUUCUACAUAUAGAAUAAGAAAAAUAAACUUGCUCCCACUGACCUGAUCAAUGGUGUGUUCCUUAAAAUCAAAGGAAGUUAAACUUAAUAUACACCAUGUAUUUAAACCCCCAUUAAGAAAGAUAGUUUUGUAUCCAUUGGGUACAACUCUAAAUUAUAAUGGUUUUGUAAUCAAUGUCUUCUUUUUAAUUGAAACCUUUGGUGGUAA